GCCUGAAUCAGUGUGUGUGUUAGUGGAAGCGUCUGGAAAGGCGUGCGAUACAGGGUGACAGCCCCGUACACAAAAAUGCACAUAUUGUGAGCUCGAUGAGUAGGGCGGGACACGUGGUAUCCUGUCUGAAUAUGGGGGGACCAUCCUCCAAGGCUAAAUACUCCUGACUGACCGAUAGUGAACCAGUACCGUGAGGGAAAGGCGAAAAGAACCCCGGCGAGGGGAGUGAAAAAGAACCUGAAACCGUGUACGUACAAGCAGUGGGAGCCUCUUAAUGGGGUGACUGCGUACCUUUUGUAUAAUGGGUCAGCGACUUAUAUUCUGUAGCAAGGUUAACCGAAUAGGGGAGCCGAAGGGAAACCGAGUCUUAACUGGGCGUUAAGUUGCAGGGUAUAGACCCGAAACCCGGUGAUCUAGCCAUGGGCAGGUUGAAGGUUGGGUAACACUAACUGGAGGACCGAACCGACUAAUGUUGAAAAAUUAGCGGAUGACUUGUGGCUGGGGGUGAAAGGCCAAUCAAACCGGGAGAUAGCUGGUUCUCCCCGAAAGCUAUUUAGGUAGCGCCUCGUGAAUUCAUCUCCGGGGGUAGAGCACUGUUUCGGCAAGGGGGUCAUCCCGACUUACCAACCCGAUGCAAACUGCGAAUACCGGAGAAUGUUAUCACGGGAGACACACGGCGGGUGCUAACGUCCGUCGUGAAGAGGGAAACAACCCAGACCGCCAGCUAAGGUCCCAAAGUCAUGGUUAAGUGGGAAACGAUGUGGGAAGGCCCAGACAGCCAGGAUGUUGGCUUAGAAGCAGCCAUCAUUUAAAGAAAGCGUAAUAGCUCACUGGUCGAGUCGGCCUGCGCGGAAGAUGUAACGGGGCUAAACCAUGCACCGAAGCUGCGGCAGCGACACUAUGUGUUGUUGGGUAGGGGAGCGUUCUGUAAGCCUGUGAAGGUGGCCUGUGAGGGUUGCUGGAGGUAUCAGAAGUGCGAAUGCUGACAUAAGUAACGAUAAAGCGGGUGAAAAGCCCGCUCGCCGGAAGACCAAGGGUUCCUGUCCAACGUUAAUCGGGGCAGGGUGAGUCGACCCCUAAGGCGAGGCCGAAAGGCGUAGUCGAUGGGAAACAGGUUAAUAUUCCUGUACUUGGUGUUACUGCGAAGGGGGGACGGAGAAGGCUAUGUUGGCCGGGCGACGGUUGUCCCGGUUUAAGCGUGUAGGCUGGUUUUCCAGGCAAAUCCGGAAAACCAAGGCUGAGGCGUGAUGACGAGGCACUACGGUGCUGAAGCGACAAAUGCCCUGCUUCCAGGAAAAGCCUCUAAGCAUCAGGUAACAUCAAAUCGUACCCCAAACCGACACAGGUGGUCAGGUAGAGAAUACCAAGGCGCUUGAGAGAACUCGGGUGAAGGAACUAGGCAAAAUGGUGCCGUAACUUCGGGAGAAGGCACGCUGAUAUGUAGGUGAAGCGACUUGCUCGUGGAGCUGAAAUCAGUCGAAGAUACCAGCUGGCUGCAACUGUUUAUUAAAAACACAGCACUGUGCAAACACGAAAGUGGACGUAUACGGUGUGACGCCUGCCCGGUGCCGGAAGGUUAAUUGAUGGGGUUAGCGGCAACGCGAAGCUCUUGAUCGAAGCCCCGGUAAACGGCGGCCGUAACUAUAACGGUCCUAAGGUAGCGAAAUUCCUUGUCGGGUAAGUUCCGACCUGCACGAAUGGCGUAAUGAUGGCCAGGCUGUCUCCACCCGAGACUCAGUGAAAUUGAACUCGCUGUGAAGAUGCAGUGUACCCGCGGCAAGACGGAAAGACCCCGUGAACCUUUACUAUAGCUUGACACUGAACAUUGAGCCUUGAUGUGUAGGAUAGGUGGGAGGCUUUGAAGUGUGGACGCCAGUCUGCAUGGAGCCGACCUUGAAAUACCACCCUUUAAUGAUUUGAGUUCUAACGUUGGCCCGUAAUCCGGGUUGCGGACAGUGUCUGGUGGGUAGUUUGACUGGGGCGGUCUCCUCCUAAAGAGUAACGGAGGAGCGCGAAGGUUGGCUAAUCCUGGUCGGACAUCAGGAGGUUAGUGCAAUGGCAUAAGCCAGCUUGACUGCGAGCGUGACGGCGCGAGCAGGUGCGAAAGCAGGUCAUAGUGAUCCGGUGGUUCUGAAUGGAAGGGCCAUCGCUCAACGGAUAAAAGGUACU
This 2169-nucleotide ribosomal RNA is filed under the name human gut metagenome. RNAcentral describes it as "bacterial LSU rRNA". It matches the Rfam family "Bacterial large subunit ribosomal RNA", at positions 308 to 2467 of the family's 2925-position model. The record is from RNAcentral.